UGAGAUGAUUCAGCCUCACAGACUAUCCAACCAAGACUUCAGAUAAACAAAAUACUUUCCAAUCACAAUAGACUAAAGAAAAAUCAAUAUAUCUAGCUCUCUGAUUACUUGGCCUUUAUCCUAAUUUUCCAAGGGUUCCCUAAAGAUGCCAUCACCUACAGACAACAGGAAGCAGUCUAGAGAACAUGAUGCCACACUCCCAAGAGAUCUUCUGCAUACAAGAAGUAUCCCAGUCAUCUUCAAUGUAUUGGAUAUACCAGGCUAGAGGAAAAGAAUCUACCCUGUAAUGCAGACCCUGUGGCUUCUACAAACUCUGUAGGUAGGAAUGACGAGGAGUUCUCUGUUGAGUUAACAUAACUGAGUAUAUAUAAACAAUUUCCUGAAAUAGUAAUGUUUGAUGACUAAUGAAUUAUA
Peromyscus eremicus (cactus mouse) is the source of this 414-nucleotide long non-coding RNA. RefSeq lists it as uncharacterized. The transcript is spliced from 2 exons. Lineage: Eukaryota; Metazoa; Chordata; Mammalia; Rodentia; Cricetidae. The record is from RefSeq and is a predicted model, not a curated record.